RNAcentral lists this ribosomal RNA (254 nucleotides) under uncultured bacterium. RNAcentral's name for it is "partial 16S ribosomal RNA". It matches the Rfam family "Bacterial small subunit ribosomal RNA", at positions 524 to 776 of the family's 1533-position model. The record is from RNAcentral.
UACGUAGGGUGCAAGCGUUUGUCCGGAAUUAUUGGGCGUAAAGAGCUCGUAGGCGGUUUGUCGCGUCUGCUGUGAAAACGCGAGGCUCAACCUCGCGCCUGCAGUGGGUACGGGCAGACUAGAGUGUGGUAGGGGAGAUUGGAAUUCCUGGUGUAGCGGUGGAAUGCGCAGAUAUCAGGAGGAACACCGGUGGCGAAGGCGGGUCUCUGGGCAGUAACUGACGCUGAGGAACGAAAGCGUGGGUAGCGAACAGG